GGUAUCCCCCAACUCCCAACAGCGGACUCGGACAGAGGUCCGUCCGCUGUCAGCACAGCCCCUCCGGGUGGCCCAGGCGCCCGCGGGCAGGGAAGGGAGGGUCCCUUCGCCGCCGCCCCGGGGCGCUGGCCGGGUUGCGGAGGGUGGCCCCUGACCCCCUCUGACAGGAGGCCGGGGACAGCCAGGCUUUCGGGCCCGGCCGCGCUGAGGGGGGCGGCGCUACAGCCCACCUGUCUCAGCCGGCUGGGGGAUCUGCUCCAGCUCCACGGACCCGCGGACGGAUGGGAGGGUGGCAGAGGGGUCAGGAGAAGUCGCUGUCGCCGCCGCAGCCCAGGUGGCGCACACCGGCUCAGGCCUCCAUGUUUCCACGUCUCAGCGGGUACAGAUCCGGCUCCGGUCCGGCCUGCAGCUCGGCCCCGGCUCGGCUCCAGCCCGGGCCGCGUCGGUGCGGAGGCCAGGAGGCGGCGAGAGAAGAGGGAAGCGACCGAGAACGCGGCUAGGGACCAGACCCCCAGGCGCGCGCGCCAGCCAGGUGGUCACGUGGCACGCGGCGCGCGCGGGCUUCUGGAAACUGUAGUCCUUUGGGUGUUAUUCGUGCCUCCGCCCUCCUAGUACCUCCUGGGCUACCGCAAAGCCACGUGGCGAAAUCGAGAAGCGCAAAAACAGCCGUGCGCGGUGGCUCACGCCUGUAAUCCCAGCACUUUAGGAGGCCGAGGUGGACGGAUCACGAGGUCAGGAGAUCGAGACCAUCCUGGCCAGCAUGGUGAAACCCCGUCUCCACUAAAAAUACAAAAAGUAGCUGUUUGAGACAGGAUAAUCGUUUGAACCCGAGAGGCGGAGAUUGCAGUGAGUCAAAAAGUAGCUGUCUGAGGCAGGAGAAUCGUUUGAACCCGAGAGGCGGAGAUUGCAGUGAGUCGAGAUCGGGCCACUGCACUCCAGCCUUGCGACAGAGCUCGACUCUUCUCAAAAAAAAAAAAAGAGAGAGAGAGAGAAGCGCAAAAACCUCACCUGCCGGGUGCUAGAGUCAACCUCACCUGCCAGGUGCUAGAGUCCUCGCUCAUGCUACACCGCUCGUUCUGGCGGCUUAACCUUAUUAAGGCCUCUGUUAAUUGCAGCUGAAUAACCAUCCCAAAGUCAAGCAAUAUUGUGUGGGAUUCUGGAGAAUUGAGAAAUAGCAAAAUAAUUUUUGAUGGAGGCAGCUGGCAGGGCUAGCCCUGCCUGCAAAGUUGUCGGAAAGGACAGGUCCCACGGGAAAGAGUAGCAAUAUGAGAUAGUGCCAAAACUAUGGAAUUUGAAGUCAAAUGAGCUGAGGUUUCCACACUGACGUCUUUGAGCAAUUACUUCACCUCUCUCAGCCAGUUUCCUCACCUAAAAUAUAUGCAUGAUGAUGAUUCUGCCAUUACAGGAAAUGUUGACAUGACUGUAGUA
Molecule: long non-coding RNA, 1428 nt
Filed under: Homo sapiens (human)
Lineage: Eukaryota; Metazoa; Chordata; Mammalia; Primates; Hominidae
Description: HSALNT0394269
Source: RNAcentral